CGUGCUUAACACAUGCAAGUCGAACGGAAAGGCCAGUGCUUGCACUGGUACUCGAGUGGCGAACGGGUGAGUAACACGUGGGUGAUCUGCCUUGCACUCUGGGAUAAGCUUGGGAAACUGGGUCUAAUACCGGAUAUGAACUGCCUUUAGUGUGGUGGUUGGAAAGUUUUUUCGGUGCARGAUGAGCUCGCGGCCUAUCAGCUUGUUGGUGGGGUAAUGGCCUACCAAGGCGUCGACGGGUAGCCGGCCUGAGAGGGUGUACGGCCACAUUGGGACUGAGAUACGGCCCAGACUCCUACGGGAGGCAGCAGUGGGGAAUAUUGCACAAUGGGCGGAAGCCUGAUGCAGCGACGCCGCGUGGGGGAUGACGGCCUUCGGGUUGUAAACUCCUUUCGACAGGGACGAAGCGHARGUGACGGUACCUGUAUAAGAAGCACCGGCUAACUACGUGCCAGCAGCCGCGGUAAUACGUAGGGUGCGAGCGUUGUCCGGAAUUACUGGGCGUAAAGAGCUCGUAGGUGGUUUGUCGCGUCGUCUGUGAAAUUCCGGGGCUUAACUUCGGGCGUGCAGGCGAUACGGGCAUAACUUGAGUGCUGUAGGGGAGACUGGAAUUCCUGGUGUAGCGGUGAAAUGCGCAGAUAUCAGGAGGAACACCGAUGGCGAAGGCAGGUCUCUGGGCAGUUACUGACGCUGAGGAGCGAAAGCAUGGGUAGCAAACAGGAUUAGAUACCC
Molecule: ribosomal RNA, 732 nt
Filed under: Corynebacterium aurimucosum
Lineage: Bacteria; Bacillati; Actinomycetota; Actinomycetes; Mycobacteriales; Corynebacteriaceae
Description: bacterial SSU rRNA
Rfam family: Bacterial small subunit ribosomal RNA
Source: RNAcentral